UAUAAUGAAGUGAGCCUUCGUCCCUCGGGUGAACCCAUUUUGCCUGUUAUUUAAUGCAGUGUUAAAGUCAUCCUUACCCUCUUUUUUUUCUCUCGAGGAGUCCAAGCAGAUUUCCCAGACAACAUCCCCUUAAGCCAGCGUGAGUUGGCAUUGCACAGUGGCCUGUGGAGCUUGGUCAUGUCAGUGAGCCAAAUGUUUUGCGACAGGACAGGACUUGAUGCCAACAUAAGUGACUCAAAUGCGACUCCAAAAUUAUUUCCGAUGGCUAUAUUAAAUUUCCCCCGUGCUUGGAUUUAAAUAAACCAAUAUAUUGUA
Non-coding RNA from Electrophorus electricus (electric eel), 315 nucleotides. Lineage: Eukaryota; Metazoa; Chordata; Actinopteri; Gymnotiformes; Gymnotidae. The record is from RefSeq and is a predicted model, not a curated record.